This 77-nucleotide transfer RNA is filed under the name Tenericutes bacterium ADurb.Bin140. Its description in RNAcentral is "tRNA-Met". It matches the Rfam family "tRNA". From Rfam's summary of the family: Transfer RNA (tRNA) molecules are approximately 80 nucleotides in length. Their secondary structure includes four short double-helical elements and three loops (D, anti-codon, and T loops). Lineage: Bacteria; Bacillati; Mycoplasmatota. The record is from RNAcentral. RNAcentral also lists the same sequence under 1 other name.
GGCGGUGUAGCUUAGUUGGCAAGAGCGUUCGGUUCAUACCCGAAAGGUCGGGGGUUCAAAUCCCUCCGCCGCUACCA